GGAGGUGUAGCUCAGUUGGUUAGAGCAUUCGCCUGUUAAGCGACAGGUCACCGGUUCGAGUCCGGUCUCCUCCGC
This 75-nucleotide transfer RNA is filed under the name Aeromonas phage Ah1. Its description in RNAcentral is "tRNA-Asn". It matches the Rfam family "tRNA". Rfam says of the family: Transfer RNA (tRNA) molecules are approximately 80 nucleotides in length. Their secondary structure includes four short double-helical elements and three loops (D, anti-codon, and T loops). The record is from RNAcentral. Lineage: Duplodnaviria; Heunggongvirae; Uroviricota; Caudoviricetes; Pantevenvirales; Straboviridae.